RNAcentral lists this ribosomal RNA (1407 nucleotides) under uncultured bacterium. Its description in RNAcentral is "16S ribosomal RNA". It matches the Rfam family "Bacterial small subunit ribosomal RNA". The record is from RNAcentral.
GAGUUUGAUCCUGGCUCAGGAUGAACGCUAGCGACAGGCUUAACACAUGCAAGUCGAGGGGCAGCGGGGCUUUUGGGCAACCAGAGGCCGCCGGCGACCGGCGCACGGGUGAGUAACGCGUAUGCAACCUGCCCGGCUCAGUGGGAUAACCCGGAGAAAUCCGGACUAAUACCGCAUGCGCCCCCUUGGGGACAUCCCCCCGGGGGCAAAGGAGGCGACUCCGGAGCCGGAUGGGCAUGCGUGGCAUUAGCUAGUUGGCGGGGUAACGGCCCACCAAGGCGACGAUGCCUAGGGGUUCUGAGAGGAAGGUCCCCCACACUGGUACUGAGACACGGUCCAGACUCCUACGGGAGGCAGCAGUGAGGAAUAUUGGUCAAUGGGCGGUAGCCUGAACCAGCCAAGUCGCGUGAGGGACGACGGCCCUACGGGUUGUAAACCUCUUUUGCCGGGGAGCAAGGCGGGCCACGUGUGGCACGUCGGAGAGCACCCGAAGAAAAAGCAUCGGCUAACUCCGUGCCAGCAGCCGCGGUAAUACGGAGGAUGCGAGCGUUAUCCGGAUUUAUUGGGUUUAAAGGGUGCGCAGGCGGAUUUUUAAGUCAGCGGUCAAAUCGUGGGGCUCAACCCCAUCCAGCCGUUGAAACUGGGGAUCUAGAGUGUGCGAGAGGUAUGCGGAAUGCGUGGUGUAGCGGUGAAAUGCAUAGAUAUCACGCAGAACCCCGAUUGCGAAGGCAGCAUACCGGUGCACAACUGACGCUCAGGCACGAAAGCGUGGGUAUCGAACAGGAUUAGAUACCCUGGUAGUCCACGCAGUAAACGAUGAAUGCUACCUGUUUGGCCUGAUUGAAGGCUGAGCGGGACAGCGAAAGCGUUAAGCAUUCCACCUGGGGAGUACGCCGGCAACGGUGAAACUCAAAGGAAUUGACGGGGGCCCGCACAAGCGGAGGAACAUGUGGUUUAAUUCGAUGAUACGCGAGGAACCUUACCCGGGCUCAAACGCAUAAUGACGACAGUUGAAAGAUUGUUUCCCUUCGGGGCAUUAUGCGAGGUGCUGCAUGGUUGUCGUCAGCUCGUGCCGUGAGGUGUCGGCUUAAGUGCCAUAACGAGCGCAACCCCUAUCGACAGUUGCUAACGAGUCGAGUCGAGGACUCUGUCGAGACUGCCGGCGCAAGCUGUGAGGAAGGCGGGGAUGACGUCAAAUCAGCACGGCCCUUACGUCCGGGGCGACACACGUGUUACAAUGGCAGGGACAGCGGGAAGCCACCAAGCGAUUGGGCGCGGAACCCGAAACCCUGUCUCAGUUCGGAUUGGAGUCUGCAACUCGACUCCAUGAAGCUGGAUUCGCUAGUAAUCGCGCAUCAGCCAUGGCGCGGUGAAUACGUUCCCGGGCCUUGCACACACCGCCCGUCA